This 903-nucleotide long non-coding RNA is filed under the name Salvia miltiorrhiza (redroot sage). Its description in RNAcentral is "long non-coding RNA (SMIL_LNC008979)". Lineage: Eukaryota; Viridiplantae; Streptophyta; Magnoliopsida; Lamiales; Lamiaceae. The record is from RNAcentral.
UAGAGUACCUUAGCAAAACUUUGCUAUCAGGUGGGCAAUUUCUUACGCGUAAAUAAAAUGCUAUGCAUGUGUUAUGCCUUUAAAAUGUAAAAAUUGGAUCUUCAAGUGUGGUAUGCUUUAUUAUGCUUUACGCUAAAUGAUUUACGCUUGAUUACACUUAUUUACGCUUGAAUGCUUUACGCUGAUAAGUUUAUGCCUGUGUUUGAUGCUUGCGUCUGUUGGGGGAGGCCUCCCUCAACAGUACGAUGCCGUGUCCGCUGAGGAGGGCCUUCCUCACGGCGCGAUGCCCGUGUCCGCUGAGAGAGGCCUCUCUCGCGGCGCGUAUGCCAGUAUGCCAGUAUGCCAGUGUUACAGCGUCUAGUUGGGGGAGGCCUCCCUCAAUAGUACGAUGCCGUGACCGCUGAGGGAGGCCCCCUUCACGGCGCGAUGCCCGUGUUCGUUGGGGAAGGCCUUCUCCACGACACGAUGCGUGUUUAUGAUUGUUAAUGAUGAAGAAUGCCCUUAUGCUAUUUAUGAAUUUGGAAAUGUUUAAUGAGCAAAUGAUAUGAAAGAAACUCAUGCCUCUUAUGCGAUAUUGUGAAAUUGUUAAUGAUGUUAUGUUAUAUGCUUGGCAACUGCCCACUAAGUACUCUUGUACUUAGCCCUUCGUAUGUUUAUGUUUGUGCAGGUUGAGCUGUGAUGGGCGAUGAAGUGUUGCUGAGUGGAGUUUUUGUUGAACUUAAAGUAGGCUCAGAAAGGAUACAUGUCUUCAUACAUGUAUCUCAGUUAUGCUUUCCGCUGUAAACACUGAUUAUUUCAGUUACACCUUCCGUUGCAAACUCUGAUAAUGUUUUAGCCAAGCCCCUAACGAUGCCUUUUUCCUUUUAAGGAAUAUAACGCGUAUACAAGUUCUUUGAGUACCCU